This 577-nucleotide ribosomal RNA is filed under the name uncultured bacterium. Its description in RNAcentral is "bacterial SSU rRNA". It matches the Rfam family "Bacterial small subunit ribosomal RNA", at positions 338 to 917 of the family's 1533-position model. The record is from RNAcentral.
CCUACGGGAGGCAGCAGUAAGGAAUAUUGGUCAAUGGACGCAAGUCUGAACCAGCCAUGCCGCGUGAAGGAUUAAGGUCCUCUGGAUUGUAAACUUCUUUUAUAUGGGACGAAAACAGAUCUUUCUAGGUCCUUUGACGGUACCAUAUGAAUAAGCACCGGCUAACUCCGUGCCAGCAGCCGCGGUAAUACGGAGGGUGCAAGCGUUAUCCGGAUUCACUGGGUUUAAAGGGUGCGUAGGCGGGUAGGUAAGUCAGUGGUGAAAUCCUGGAGCUCAACUCCAGAACUGCCAUUGAUACUAUCUAUCUUGAAUAUUGUGGAGGUAAGCGGAAUAUGUCAUGUAGCGGUGAAAUGCUUAGAUAUGACAUAGAACACCCAUUGCGAAGGCAGCUUACUACGCAUAUAUUGACGCUGAGGCACGAAAGCGUGGGGAUCAAACAGGAUUAGAUACCCUGGUAGUCCACGCCCUAAACGAUGGAUACUCGACAUACGCGAUACACAGUGUGUGUCUGAGCGAAAGCAUUAAGUAUCCCACCUGGAAGUACGUUCGCAGAAUGAAACUCAAAGGAAUUAGACGG